AGUCGAGCGGUAAGGCCUUUCGGGGUACACGAGCGGCGAACGGGUGAGUAACACGUGGGUGAUCUGCCCUGCACUUCGGGAUAAGCCUGGGAAACUGGGUCUAAUACCGGAUAUGACCUCCUAUCGCAUGGUGGGUGGUGGAAAGAUUUAUCGGUGCAGGAUGGGCCCGCGGCCUAUCAGCUUGUUGGUGGGGUAAUGGCCUACCAAGGCGACGACGGGUAGCCGACCUGAGAGGGUGACCGGCCACACUGGGACUGAGACACGGCCCAGACUCCUACGGGAGGCAGCAGUGGGGAAUAUUGCACAAUGGGCGAAAGCCUGAUGCAGCGACGCCGCGUGAGGGAUGACGGCCUUCGGGUUGUAAACCUCUUUCAGCAGGGACGAAGCGCAAGUGACGGUACCUGCAGAAGAAGCACCGGCUAACUACGUGCCAGCAGCCGCGGUAAUACGUAGGGUGCAAGCGUUGUCCGGAAUUACUGGGCGUAAAGAGUUCGUAGGCGGUUUGUCGCGUCGUUUGUGAAAACCAGCAGCUCAACUGCUGGCUUGCAGGCGAUACGGGCAGACUUGAGUACUGCAGGGGAGACUGGAAUUCCUGGUGUAGCGGUGAAAUGCGCAGAUAUCAGGAGGAACACCGGUGGCGAAGGCGGGUCUCUGGGCAGUAACUGACGCUGAGGAACGAAAGCGUGGGUAGCGAACAGGAUUAGAUACCCUGGUAGUCCACGCCGUAAACGGUGGGCGCUAGGUGUGGGUUCCUUCCACGGAAUCCGUGCCGUAGCUAACGCAUUAAGCGCCCCGCCUGG
RNAcentral lists this ribosomal RNA (800 nucleotides) under Rhodococcus sp. (in: high G+C Gram-positive bacteria). Its description in RNAcentral is "bacterial SSU rRNA". It matches the Rfam family "Bacterial small subunit ribosomal RNA", at positions 60 to 876 of the family's 1533-position model. Lineage: Bacteria; Bacillati; Actinomycetota; Actinomycetes; Mycobacteriales; Nocardiaceae. The record is from RNAcentral.